CCUACGGGAGACAGCAGUGGGGAAUAUUGGACAAUGGGCGCAAGCCUGAUCCAGCCAUGCCGCGUGAGUGAUGAAGGCCCUAGGGUUGUAAAGCUCUUUCACCGGGGACGAUAAUGACGGUACCCGGAGAAGAAGCCCCGGCUAACUUCGUGCCAGCAGCCGCGGUAAUACGAAGGGGGCUAGCGUUGUUCGGAAUUACUGGGCGUAAAGCGCACGUAGGCGGACAUUUAAGUCAGGGGUGAAAUCCCGGGGCUCAACCCCGGAACGGCCUUUGAUACUGGGUGUCUUGAGUGUGGUAGAGGUGAGUGGAAUUGCGAGUGUAGAGGUGAAAUUCGUAGAUAUUCGCAGGAACACCAGUGGAGAAGGCGGCUCACUGGACCACAACUGACGCUGAGGUGCGAAAGCAUGGGGAGCAAACAGGAUUAGAUACCCUAGUAGUC
This 440-nucleotide ribosomal RNA is filed under the name uncultured bacterium. RNAcentral's name for it is "partial 16S ribosomal RNA". It matches the Rfam family "Bacterial small subunit ribosomal RNA", at positions 338 to 795 of the family's 1533-position model. The record is from RNAcentral.